Molecule: ribosomal RNA, 439 nt
Filed under: uncultured bacterium
Lineage: Bacteria
Description: partial 16S ribosomal RNA
Rfam family: Bacterial small subunit ribosomal RNA
Source: RNAcentral
CUACGGGCGGCUGCAGUGAGGAAUAUUGCACAAUGGGGGGAACCCUGAUGCAGCAACGCCGCGUGGAGGAUGACGCAUUUCGGUGUGUAAACUCCUUUUAUCAGAGAAGAAAAUGACGGUAUCUGAUGAAUAAGCUCCGGCUAACUCCGUGCCAGCAGCCGCGGUAAUACGGAGGGAGCAAGCGUUAUUCGGAAUCACUGGGCGUAAAGGACGCGUAGGCGGGUUUUUAAGUCGGGUGUGAAAUCCUAUGGCUCAACCAUAGAACUGCACUUGAAACUGGGGACCUAGAGUAUGGAAGGGGCAGGUGGAAUUUGUGGUGUAGGGGUAAAAUCCGUAGAUAUCACUAGGAAUACCGAAAGCGAAGGCGACCUGCUGGGACAUUACUGACGCUGAGGCGUGAAAGCGUGGGGAGCAAACAGGAUUAGAUACCCUUGUAGUC